UUUUUAAUCACGUUAAAGUCUGCGAGUGCCAUUUCCGGUGCUAUAAUCAUAAUGGUCUUACCUCAGCCCCAACCAUGUUGGGGCCGAGUUCUUAUAGACCCCAAGUGGCGGAUUCAAAGGCAACCGAGCAGCCCCCCCCCCCCAGUCCAAAUUUUUGAAAGUUAUUAAAGAAUAAUAGAGAAAAAUAAACAUAAACGCAGCAACAGAACAUGAUCCAUGCUACAAGACAUGAAAAGUAUAUAGAGGUUUUGUGAACAUUUUCCUGAAUAGUGUGAUAGCAUAAUCCUGCAGCAUACAGUCAAAUUGUAACGUGUCAAAGUAUAUGGAAUCAUCUGGCUGUUUGACAAGGACGAUAGACAAAUCUCUCUUCAAGAUAACAAGUAAUUUUUGAUGUACAUCAAAGAUUUAAUAAUACUAUGUGGCAACAGAGGUGCAGGAUAGGAAAUGUACGGCUGCAGAGCAAGACAAGGAAGAGAAACCUACUAUAAUUAAUUUUGUUUCAUAUAGGCAAUUUAACUUUUAGUUAAUUAAAUUUGUGAUGCCUAAUAGAAUACAGCGAUCCUGGUAAAAGCGAACAUACAGCAGUUGUACAGUAUUACUUAUGAAAUUAUUGCAGCAUCAAGGCAACAAUUGCUUCAUUCUGAAAAAAAACUGAGUAUAUUGUACAGAAGAUAUGAACUGGCUAAUUACAAUAUGACUAGAGAACCAGAAACCUACUAUAAUUUAUUAUUAUCUAUUAUAUAAGCCUAUAUAAUGAAUUGGUGAUGCCUAAUAAUUUACACAUGUGAUUUUGGUUAUGGAAAUAAAAAAUAUAAGUAGUG
This is a long non-coding RNA of Anneissia japonica, 821 nucleotides long. RefSeq lists it as uncharacterized. The record is from RefSeq and is a predicted model, not a curated record. Lineage: Eukaryota; Metazoa; Echinodermata; Crinoidea; Comatulida; Comatulidae. The transcript is spliced from 4 exons.